UAUGCUACCACUACUAUAAGCAUGCUACUACAAGCAUAGUCUUACCCAAGGUAUUUACCCAGAAUAUUGAUUACGUUAACUAAAGGUAUUUAUCAUCCCACUACUGUAAGCAUAUUUACCCAACAUAUUUAUUAUAUUAACUAAAGGUAUUUAUCUCCCCACUACUAUAAGCUACCACUACUAUUAGUUAGUGUUAACAGUCACGACGAUCCCGUUCCCGACAAUUCCCAUUCGCAACGAUCUCAACGAUUUCGACGAUUCCCAUUCGCGACGAUCUCAAUGAUUCCGAUUCCCAUUGGCAACGAUCUCGACGAUUCUGAAUCCCAUUGGUGACGAUCCUCAACGAUUCCGAUUCCCAUUCACGACGCUGAUUCCCAUUCGCGACGAUCCUCCCUUCGUCGUGGCCUUUGUUCGGAAUCGCUUUCAAGGCAGAAGAAUGCAACUUCCAUUUUUUGGUCCCGCUUUGUAGCUCUUUAAAAAUGAUCAAGGACUAGUGGGAAGACAAGGAUUGGAAUCAACAGAAAAUAUUCUCAAAGUGCAAGCGGAUCAUUGUCAAGAUCCUAAUGCAAUUCCCCUAACAUAAGAGGAGAUCUCAAACUUGGUUUUUAAGAAAAAGUCUGGUAUUGUAAAAGGACUGGGCAUGAGACCUUCAUCUUCUCUAGUAACCACCGCCUCAUCUAAUUCCUCGGUGGAGUAUAUCCAACGGUUAGAAAAUAAGAUAAUUGAGCUCAAAGAGGCAAGAGUUAGGGACCAAGAGGAGCGAGUUAAGGACCAAAAGGAGCGAGCUAGGGACCAAGAGGCGCGAGCUAAGCAAGAAGAGGUCCAAAAGAAUAUUCUUAACUUUUUGAGGAGUAAGGGAUGCUCUUACCUAUGGGGGUGGUUCAACUUCAAGUUAAACCACUAUUUGGUUAGUACUUUAUUUUAGUAAUUGACCCAACUUCAAGUUAUAACAUAGUUAAUGUUUUUACUUUACGAUUUUAA
Quercus lobata is the source of this 981-nucleotide long non-coding RNA. RefSeq lists it as uncharacterized. The record is from RefSeq and is a predicted model, not a curated record. The transcript has 3 exons. Lineage: Eukaryota; Viridiplantae; Streptophyta; Magnoliopsida; Fagales; Fagaceae.